GUCUCUUUGGUAAUGUAGAAUUGUUGCUUCCACUCAUACAAUUUCUGACCGGAAUAAGAACAGUCCCAUAAUUCCUGAGUUAGCCAGAUGAUAUGUUGCAAUAGCCUGGCGUCCACACUCGAAAUGCUGAUUUGCACAAAUAUAUUGUAACAAAUGGUGGAAGGUUCUCAAUCAUUAAUUCAGACAACAUUGGAAAUUCUGCACAAACGCCAAGUGAAAAAAAGCCUUCAAGGUUUUUGGAGAAAAUUCAAGCCUGAGAGUUGAAUCACUUGAGUGUCCUGCAUAAUUUUACUGAGUUUUUAAUGGCAGUUGUUUUAGACACUUUGUUUCUAUUGUGAACAAUUUAAGAAGCAGCAGUAACAAGAAAAUUGCAGAUAAUCCUUGUUCUAAUAAUCGUUUUUAAACAUAAAUCAGAAACACUGGGACACACGCACACACACACACACACACACACAAAUAACUAAUCUUUCACAAAAAAAUAUUAACCUUUUUACUCAGCAAAGGAUUAAAUUCUACAUCAGCCACAAAAAAUCAAAUAUAUCCCAGAUGACAAUGCAGAGUUCUACAGAAAACUUAGAUUAGCUGAAUCAAAAGCAAAUUCUAUCCUUAAAGAGGAAGAAAUAUAACUCUUAAAGAAUUUUGUGAACAUACUUCAAACUUGCCUAUAGAAAACUAGAAAACAAAGCAAAUAAAAUCUAAUUUUUGUAGACAACAAUGAAUUCACCGAACAGAUUUUCUAUUUGCCAAAUAUAUAAUUACUAAGGAAGCCAACAAAGAAGGCUCACUUGUUAUUUAGGAUAUGAAAUAUCAUGUGAAUAUUGUAUUAAAUAUACUACAAGGCAAUACAUACAACGAAGAAGCAAAAUUUACAAACUUAUAAAAAUCCUUUAAUUAUUUGCUAUAUACAUAUAGAAAUUACUUAACUGAUAAAGAACUGGAUUACCUUACAAACUUCAAAUACAGAACAAGCAAUUUCUAUGUAUUAUCUAAUAUACAAAAGAACAAACUAAUAAAUGAGACAUGUUAAUAAGCAAGGACCAAUCCACCACCAUCGGAUUUAAAAUUGAAAUCCAUUGUAGCAGGCUUGUCUUGUGAAACUCAUUACUUAAGUCACUUCCUAGACAUUCUGCUAAAGCCUUUCCCCAGGCACAUAAAAAGCUUUGUACAAGAUGAUCUCAACAUAUUCAGCCAUCUUCUUUAUACAUCAUCAUUGUCAUCAUUAUCAUCGUUUAACGUCUGCUUUCCAUGCUGGCAUGGGUUAGACAGUUUGAUAUGGAGCUGGCUAGCUGGGAGCUGUCCAAACCCCAGCUGUCUGUUGAGAAAUGGUUUCUAUGGCUGGAUGCCCUCCCUAAUA
Molecule: long non-coding RNA, 1354 nt
Organism: Octopus bimaculoides (California two-spot octopus)
Lineage: Eukaryota; Metazoa; Mollusca; Cephalopoda; Octopoda; Octopodidae
Source: RefSeq, a predicted model, not a curated record